This 374-nucleotide ribosomal RNA is filed under the name uncultured organism. RNAcentral describes it as "partial 16S ribosomal RNA". It matches the Rfam family "Bacterial small subunit ribosomal RNA", at positions 527 to 896 of the family's 1533-position model. The record is from RNAcentral.
GGAGGGGGCGAGCGUUAUUCGGAAUUAUUGGGCGUAAAGGGCAGGUAGGCGGCUUUGUAUGUCCUCUGUGAAAGCCCUCGGCUCAACCGAGGAAUUGCAGGGGAAACUGCGGAGCUUGAGUCCGGGAGAGGCUAGUGGAAUUCCCAGUGUAGCGGUGAAAUGCGUAGAUAUUGGGAGGAACACCAGUGGCGAAGGCGGCUAGCUGGACCGGUACUGACGCUGAUCUGCGAAAGCUAGGGGAGCAAACGGGGAUUAGAUACCCCGGUAGUCCUGGCUGUAAACGCUGAGCACUUGGUGUGGCGGGUAUCGACCCCCCUGCCGUGCCGAAGCUAACGCAUUAAGUGCUCCGCCUGGGGAGUACGGUCGCAAGGCUG